UACGUAGGGUGCAAGCGUUGUCCGGAAUUAUUGGGCGUAAAGAGCUCGUAAGCGGCCUGUCACGUCGACUGUGAAAACCCGAGGCUCAACCUCGGGCCUGCAGUCGAUACGGGCAGGCUAGAGUUCGGUAGGGGAGACUGGAAUUCCUGGUGUAGCGGUGAAAUGCGCAGAUAUCAGGAGGAACACCGGUGACGAAGGCGGGUCUCUGGGCCGAAACUGACGCUGAGGAGCGAAAGCGUGGGGAGCGAACAGG
Molecule: ribosomal RNA, 253 nt
Filed under: uncultured bacterium
Lineage: Bacteria
Description: partial 16S ribosomal RNA
Rfam family: Bacterial small subunit ribosomal RNA
Source: RNAcentral